CUGUUCCAAACAUGGAUGGCCAUAGUUCUGUGAUACCUGUGUUGAGCAGACAACAAUAUGAACAAUUGAUGACCUUGCUGCAACAAACUCAGUUAGGGGACUCCGCUGCCCAGACUCCUCCUCCCAUGUAUGCUGCCAAUUUUGCUGGUACUAUGCUUACUGAGAGCCCUAUUUCUGAUUCCUCUGUGAUACCUGGGUUGAGCAGACAACAAUAUGACUAAUUGAUGACCUUGCUGCAACAAACUCAGUUAGGGGACUCCGCUGCCCAGACUCCUCCUCCCAUGUAUGCUGCCAAUUUUGCUGGUACUAUGCUAACUAAGAGCCAUGUUUCUGAUUCCAAAUUUUUCAUGCUUACUCACAUUAAUUCUGCCACCUGGAUAAUAGACUCAGGGGCAUCUAGCCAUAUGACCUUUAAUAAAGAUUUACUCUACAAUCUCACACCUUUAACUGUACCCCUAUCUUGUAACUCUUCCUAAUGGAUAUAAAGUGAAAGUGACAUGCACAGGAUCUUUUGCAUUAAAUCCAUUCAUCAUUCUUCAUGAUGUCUUACUUGUUCCUUCUUUCAAACACAACAUGAUUUCUGUCUACAAACUAGUAAAACAGUUGCAUUGCAUAGUAAAGAGGAGGCUGGUCUGUACAAGUUUGCUUGGGUUCCAACUUCCUCUUCUUCUAAUUGUUGUUCUUCUGCUUCUGUAGUUCUUCUUCUUCUAAUUCUUGUAAACUUGACUGUUCUAGUCAUAAAGUUAUUACAUUACCUUCAAUUGUAAAUAGUUCCAUCUGUAAUAAUGCUGUUGCCACUGACAUGAAUUACAUUUGGCAUUUGAGAUUGGCUCAUAUUUCAUUUGCAAACAUGAAACACAUUUCUGCCUUGUCUUUUCCAUUUGCUUCUAAACUGCCUUUACAUUGUUCUAUUUGUCCUAUGGCUAGGCAAACUAGACUUCCCUUUCCUGAAAGAACUACAAGUACAUCUAGACCUUUCCAAUUGAUUCAUGUAGAUACUCGGGGCCCUUAUCACACUCCCACCUCUUCUGGCGCUAGAUAUUUUCUAACAAUAGUUGAUGUUUGUUCUAGAGCAACCUGGACACAUUUAUUGGGGUCUACAAGCAAUGCUUUCUGCAUGCUUAAGUCUUUUCUGUGUAUGGUUAAAACCC
RNAcentral lists this long non-coding RNA (1151 nucleotides) under Nicotiana benthamiana. RNAcentral describes it as "long non-coding RNA (NBEN_LNC023825)". Lineage: Eukaryota; Viridiplantae; Streptophyta; Magnoliopsida; Solanales; Solanaceae. The record is from RNAcentral.